GACGAACGCUGGCGGCGUGCUUAACACAUGCAAGUCGAGCGACUGCAUUCUUUUCGGAGGGUGUAUGGAGCGGCGAACGGGUGAGUAACACGUGAGUAACCUGCCUUUGGCUUGGGAAUAACUUCGGGAAAUCGGGGCUAAUGCCUGAUGUUUACUGUCUGCUGCAUGGUGGGUGGUGGAAAGAUUUUUUUGGCCAGGGAUGAGCUCGCGGUCUAUCAGCUUGUUGGGGGGUAAUGGCUUACCAAGGCUUUGACGGGUAGCCGGCCUGAGAGGGUGUUCGGCCACACUGGGACUGAGACACGGCCCAGACUCCUACGGGAGGCAGCAGUGGGGAAUAUUGCGCAAUGGGCGUAAGCCUGACGCAGCGACGCCGCGUGGGGAUGAAGGCCUCGG
RNAcentral lists this ribosomal RNA (393 nucleotides) under uncultured bacterium. RNAcentral's name for it is "bacterial SSU rRNA". It matches the Rfam family "Bacterial small subunit ribosomal RNA", at positions 28 to 420 of the family's 1533-position model. The record is from RNAcentral.